Molecule: unclassified non-coding RNA, 143 nt
Filed under: uncultured Ascomycota
Lineage: Eukaryota; Fungi; Ascomycota
Description: sequence contains ITS1
Source: RNAcentral
AAGAGUGUAAAAACUCCCAAACCCAUGUGAACUUACCACUGUUGCCUCGGGGGGCUACCCGGUAGCGAUACCGGUGCCUGCCGCCCGACGGCCCCUUUAAACUCUCUGAUUUUAGUAUCUCUGAGCAACUUUUAAAUAAGUAA